RNAcentral lists this long non-coding RNA (154 nucleotides) under Columba livia (rock pigeon). RNAcentral describes it as "partial uncharacterized LOC102088581". Lineage: Eukaryota; Metazoa; Chordata; Aves; Columbiformes; Columbidae. The record is from RNAcentral.
UCAUUUCAAUUUAUGUUCCUUAAAAUAUUUUUCUACUGAAAUGGAACUUCUUUCUGUAAAAGUGAAAAAAGGAAGGUUGGAUAAAGCAGCUGAUACAUUCAAAACCUAUGUUGUUUUAAAAGUCCAAAAUGUAAGAAGCACGACAAUAGACAGA